Molecule: long non-coding RNA, 1528 nt
Organism: Mastomys coucha (southern multimammate mouse)
Lineage: Eukaryota; Metazoa; Chordata; Mammalia; Rodentia; Muridae
Exons: 3
Source: RefSeq, a predicted model, not a curated record
CUGGAAGGUAGCAUACUACUUGGAAACCUCUGGCUCAGUCAGCAAGUGGGGAAAGAGUGGUUUCGCCAGUGCCAGGGUUUGCUGCCAGAAAUGUGUUUGAAUUUGAGAAAAAGCCUCUAGGCCUGAGCUUCUCAAGAAGGCCUUCGCUGAACUUAUCCUUAGUAUACGGAAGCUGCAAAUGAGACACGAGGUCACACAGGGAAUUUGGAGAGCAUGUGCUGAAAGGCCCAUCCGGAAGUCAAUCUGCUUCAUCAACAAGUUGUCAGGGCGUGUCUCUGACAUCACACAAUAGGCCCAAAGAACCAAAGCCUCUUACACUUAAUCCUGAUUAUCUUGGGUGACCCGUGGCUUCCUGCACAUGUUUUUGUAAGGACAAUGUAUGAGUAGACAUCACACCCAGACUGGCCUCUCAUUCUGGCCAUCUGCUUCUUUGAGCAUGUGGUGCUGGUCUUUCUCCUUGAGAUGAAAAUUGGUGAAAACUGGUGCCGUGUUCUUCAGUAUCAAGUUACACUGCCCUGCUUCUGUGUUUAUCAGGCUUGGUUCUAAGACUCAGGAACAAUCUGAAUGAUGUCCUUUUCAGAAAAUGACUUCCUGGAGGGCGUUUUCGACAAUAUCAGAGUUCUUCUGAGGAUCGAUAAAGAUUGCUAAGCAAAUGUUUCUGUGCUUUGAGUUGAGCAUCAGUUAUCCUAUUUAGCUAUUAUAUACAAUUCUACCAAGGCUACUGAUUAUCGGUCCAAAGGAAAACUGUGUCCUUGAUUCAUCAUCUAAGGGAGGACUUGUUUAUUAGACCAGGUGUCCUAUGCAUUACCAACACAGAGGCUUUCCAUCAAAUCAUUCCACCCUUCAAUAAUCACUGUUUUGUCCCUGGAAUAAGUAGAGAUCAUUAACAUGUUCUAUACUAAAUGCAGAAUAAAUCCACCUCAAGAAGAAAUUGAACAACAAUAUUUAGUUUUGGUCAAACUUGGAUCUAAACCAUGGGAAUUUUUAUAUUUAAUUCUGUCAUUAAUUUUAGCUGGAAAAUUGGGAUAUGAGGUAUUUUAGUGAUGUUUUAAAAUCAUUAUUUUAUGCUGUUUCUUGGAAAAGAAGCUAAUGACGAUUAAAAAUUGAAAGGUUUUUGUCUUUGCCUUUUUUUUGCUGAAACAAAUUUUAUAGAGUUCAAAAGCAGUAACAGUUAUGACUGUUAAAGUCAAAGGCAGAAAUGUGAGACAUUCCAAAUUAAGAAAGUGUCGAUAUGAACAGCGGAACACAAUAGACCCAGAAAUAUAAGCCAUUCUUGAAAUGUGUGAUCUCAGAUAGCCAAUUUACAUAAAAUGGGGAAAGCCCAAAGGAAAAGAAUUCCAGCCUCUUCAGAUAUCUUCUCUUCCAAUAGAUAUUUUUUUAAUCUCAAUUAAUUUUCCCAUCUGUCCUGGGAAUUAGGGAAAUCUUUAUUGUUAUAGUGUUAAACAGCUGUUAGGUCCCACAUUUUUAUCUGUGAUUCUAGUUAAGAUUUCCUAAAACACACUGAAUUAUAGUAUAUUAACAUUUUUUG